Long non-coding RNA from Gigantopelta aegis, 569 nucleotides. RefSeq lists it as uncharacterized. The transcript is spliced from 2 exons. The record is from RefSeq and is a predicted model, not a curated record. NCBI's taxonomy places the organism in Eukaryota, Metazoa, Mollusca, Gastropoda, Neomphalida, Peltospiridae.
AACAUGUGGCAUUCGUAAGAAGUUGGUGAUCUCGGGAAGAUACUAUUGAUUUCAAUGUGCUACAGAUCACUGUGAAUUAUUGCCAAGUCAUACCCAUCAGGCACCCACUGAGAGAAACAUGAACAACUGUUGGAUAUAUCUUGAAAAAGUCAAACAGAUGAACACGUAAUGAGCAUGAUUUGUUGACCAGCUAUGGAAUACGUAUAACCAAUAAUACGGAAAAUCACUUGUGUUUAGUAUUUUAUUUAAAAAGUGAGGUAACGUGCGAUGAUACAUGCGAUUCCACAGAAGGUUGUUGGGGAAAGCAAGAAUGUUAGACUCGCACAAGAUGGCGGCAAACGAUUAGUUGUGGUAGCAAAAAGUGCACAACCAGGACUUCAAGAUUCGCUAGAUGACUUCAAGGUCCGGUAGAUGAGUUAAUUAUCUACUAGAUGACUUCAAGAUCCGUUAGAUGACUUCAACGUCCGUUAAAUUAGUUAAAUACCUAUUGGAUGACUUCAACAUCCGUUAUAUGACCUUUGGCUAAUUAAGACUUAAAAUUCCAGUCUUAAAAUAAAGAUCAUAACGUG